UCCAGACUCGUGUGUGGCUGCUUGCGCAGCUGCUCCGUGCCAGGCUUGGAGGACCAGGAGAAGGGGUAGUCACUUGCCACAGCUGGAGGCUGGAGCGUGUGGCACCACGGCUCGCCUCGCUGUGGUGGGUGCUGGCGACAGAGACGGCAGCUCGGCUGGACUGAUUUGCUGAGAUUUGUUUUGUGGCCUAACAUCUGAUCUACCCUGAAGACACUUCCAUGUGCUGAUGGGGAGAAUGCAUACUCUUCAACUGUUGAGUGGGAUGUUCUGUGAAUAUCUGGUAAAAAAACUGAGGCUUAGAAACAUUGAAAAAAACUUGCUCAACGUUGCAAAACAAGAAAUUUGUGACACUGGAAUUGACAUCUACAAGGGACUGAUGUAACUAAUUGCUGGAUACAUGUCCCUCAAAGACACAGAAACAGAUCUUGUAUUCUAGUGGAUCUCCGGCACCCAGUGAGGGCCUGAAACAGAGUACAUGUCCAACAAAUAAUUAUUGAAGUAAAGAUUGACAUUUCAGGAGCAGAGAUUAAUAUUCAAAAACAAAGAUGAGAAUUUUGGCAGAAAAGUCAAAAUGAGGUUCCAACGUGGCUCAACAUGGCAGUUGCUGAUCCUGACUUUGCUUAAAAUUUGGUACUUUGUUUAUCACAAAUUUUAAAAUUAAUUUUGAUUUCUCAAAAUAUUGAUUAAAAUGUUUAUCUCUA
Molecule: long non-coding RNA, 701 nt
Filed under: Homo sapiens (human)
Lineage: Eukaryota; Metazoa; Chordata; Mammalia; Primates; Hominidae
Description: HSALNT0393204
Source: RNAcentral